GGAAAGCAGGCGGGCGGGCGGAAAACGCGGAGCAACCUCUUCCCCCUCUCCCCGCUCCAUCUCCUUCCCUUCCCAGGCCGCAGCUGUCCUUUGUAGGGCGUCCAGGGUUCGCCCACAUCCACCUCCGCGCUGGGCACCUGGUGGUGCUUACAUCGCGUUUGGUGAAACGCAUCCUCCAGCCAUGCUAUGCUUGCAAAGAUGUCUCUGGUCAUUGGGAAGGACGGCAGCUUGGGAAGGAGCAUGUCCAUGAAUGUCAUCAGUGAGCUGGCACCUGUCCCCCUCUACCCUGGAGCUGAAGGCAGCUUCUACACAAACCCUCCUGGGGCCUGCUCUGUGACUCAGUUUCCCUGUCAUGUGCUGCUGCUGCUUUUUUUUCUCUUUCAUUAGGGCUUCCCCUCCACCCUCCCUGCAGGGUCACUGGGCUGGUGCCCUGGGCAGGGAGGAACACCAGCAUGUGGCCUCAGACCUCACAGUCCUUUCUGCUCGCUCAUUGACCUGUUUGCAACUCUGGACUCACAGCUGACGUUGCAAACUGAGGUUCCUGGAGUAAUUCUAACCCUUUGGGAAUCGCCCCACCCCCAGACUGUGAGCACACCAAGGGCAUGGUCCAUCUGUCCAGGCCACCCUUGUGUGCCACUGGAUGCAUGAAGGAAUGUUGACAUCAGCCUAAGGUCCUGCGUCAGCUCCCAGUGGCCUGAUGUCAGGACCUCAAAUGCAGGCUGAGAAGAGAACUUAGGAGAUGGGCCUUUUAUAAGGCCAACCAGAAGGUCAGAAGACUUGGGCUCCAGCCGGGUGCGGCGACCCACACCUGUAAUCCCAGUACUUUGGGAGGUCGAGGUGAGAGGAUCACUCGAGGCCUGGAGUUUGAGACCAGCCUAGGCAACACAGUGAGACCCCAUCUCUAAAAAAAUUAAAAAAUUAGCCGAGUGUUAUGGUGCAUGCCUGCAGUACCCGCUAUUCAGGAGGCUGAGGUGGGAGGAUUGCUUGAGCCCAGGAGGUCAAGGCUGCAAUGAGCUAAGAUCACACUCCAGACUGGGCAACAGAGAGAGACCUUGUCUCAGAAAAAAAAAAAAGAGAGAGAGAGAGAGAGGAGGAGGAGGCUGGGUGCAGUGGCUCAUACCUGUAAUCUAAACACUUUGUUUGUUUGUUUGUUUGAGAGGGAGUCUCACUCUGUCGCCCAGGCUGGAGUGCAGUGGCGCGAUCUCAGCUCACUGCAACCUCUGCCUCCCAGGUCAAGCGAUUCUCCUGCCUCAGCCUCCCGAGUAGCUGGGAUUAUGGGCACAUGCCACCACGCCCAGCUAAUUUUUGUAUUUUCAGUAGAGACAGGGUUUCACCAUGUUGGCCAGCAUGGUCUUAAACUGCAGACCUCAGGUGAUCUGCCCACCUUGGCCUCCCAAAGUGCUGAGAUUACAGGCGUGAGCUACUGCACCUGGCUUUGUAAUCCCAACACUUUGAGAGGCCAAGGUGGGAGCACUGCUUGAGGCCAGGAGCUUGAAACCAGCCUGGGCAACAUAAUGAGACCCCGUUUCUACAAAAAUAAACAAAUUAGCCAGGCAUGGUGGUGCAUGCUUGUAGUCCCAGCCACUCAGCAGGCUGAGGCUGGAGGAUUGGUUGAGCCCAGGAGUUCAAGGCUGCAGUGAACCAUGAUUGCGUCACUGCAACAGAGGGAGACCCAGAAAGAAAGAAA
Long non-coding RNA from Pan troglodytes (chimpanzee), 1687 nucleotides. RefSeq lists it as uncharacterized. The record is from RefSeq and is a predicted model, not a curated record. The transcript is spliced from 2 exons. Lineage: Eukaryota; Metazoa; Chordata; Mammalia; Primates; Hominidae.